Molecule: ribosomal RNA, 497 nt
Filed under: uncultured bacterium
Lineage: Bacteria
Description: partial 16S ribosomal RNA
Rfam family: Bacterial small subunit ribosomal RNA
Source: RNAcentral
GAUGAACGCUGGCGGCGUGCCUAAUACAUGCAAGUCGAGCGAACAGAUGAGGAGCUUGCUCCUCUGACGUUAGCGGCGGAUGGGUGAGUAACACGUGGAUAACCUACCUAUAAGACUGGGAUAACUUCGGGAAACCGGAGCUAAUACCGGAUAAUAUAGUGAACCGCAUGGUUCAAUAGUGAAAGACGGUUUUGCUGUCACUUAUAGAUGGAUCCGCGCCGCAUUAGCUAGUUGGUAAGGUAACGGCUUACCAAGGCAACGAUGCGUAGCCGACCUGAGAGGGUGAUCGGCCACACUGGAACUGAGACACGGUCCAGACUCCUACGGGAGGCAGCAGUAGGGAAUCUUCCGCAAUGGGCGAAAGCCUGACGGAGCAACGCCGCGUGAGUGAUGAAGGUCUUCGGAUCGUAAAACUCUGUUAUUAGGGAAGAACAAAUGUGUAAGUAACUAUGCACGUCUUGACGGUACCUAAUCAGAAAGCCACGGCUAACUACGUG